Molecule: RNA transcript, 885 nt
Organism: Cucumis melo (muskmelon)
Lineage: Eukaryota; Viridiplantae; Streptophyta; Magnoliopsida; Cucurbitales; Cucurbitaceae
Exons: 3
Source: RefSeq, a predicted model, not a curated record
AAUUCCUUUAAGGCAGAACUUCCAAACACAAAACAGGGAAGCGUUUAAGCCUCAAGCAUCCAUUAGCGUUGUUUUUGUUCUCCAACAACUCAGCUUUCCCCCUUCAACUUCUUCUCUUCCAUUUUUCUCUUACUUUCUCUUUCUUCCAUCCCACCCCUUCAAUUUCUUCCCUAUUCUUCCCACAAUCCCAUACUCCCACACACAUAUAGAUAUGAGCAGAAAUUUGAGUCCCAGACCGUCGGAUUUCCUCUCCUUUUCCGCUUCUCUUUCCCUGCUUUUCGUCUCCGCUAUCUCUUAACACUUCUUUUGGUUGGCUACUACAGCCCUUUCUGAUGAUUCCAGUAAAAAAGAUAGUAUUAACUCUGGGAAUCAUCCAUCCUCCAGAAGCAACACUGGUUCAAUGGUUGCCAUCAUCCUCCUUGGAAUUUUGGUAGCUGUGUUAUUAUCAUUUUUCCUUUUCAAGUUAUGGCAAAAGAAGAGAAGAGAAGAGCAAUAUGCCCGACUUCUUAAAUUAUUUGAAGAAGAUGAUGAACUUGAGGUUGAACUUGGUCUUCGGGAUUGAGAAUAUCUGAAAUUCUAGUUCACUUAAGUUUGGCUCAGAAACCAUUGUGUUGGAGAAUUAUUGCAUUUCAAAUGUCUAAAAGGUGGUGAGAUGAUAGAGUGAGUAUGUUGUAAGGUUAGAUUUUUGUUUUUGUUUUUUUAAAAAGAUUGGGGGUGGGGCAUAACCUUGUAAUUCCCAUAUCAUAAUGGAUCAUUUUGUAAGGAGUGCUUGAAGGAUACGAGUCCAGGUUUUGUAAAAUUGAUGUCAUAUAGCAAGUUUAAUGGUGAAAGCCGAAAGGGUUUGACUAAAGCCCCAAUAUUUAAAUAUGUUCGGAAUUUUUUAAA